GUUUGGCUGAGAAUACGGCAUCUUCCGUCUCUCAUGAUGCCGGUCAAUUUCGUACUUUCUUCCAAGAAAGUACACCAAAAUGGAGGCACUGCCUUUCAAUUACUUUUUGCAUUAAAGACUUUAACUUGUUUAUUCCAACUGCUUUGGUUUCUUACAGUUUUAUGAAAAAGGCAGCUUCUUAAAAUGGAGUUGCCUCCUGAUCUGGCGCACGCCUUGUGACUUAGGAGGGCAUUUGUUUCCCACUGCCUGUCAACAUCUCAGCCCUCCAUGCUCCCAGCACAGGCAAAAAUGGGUUAACAAUCAUUAAACCACCCACUUCUUAUGGAAGGAACUGAGUUCCCACAGACUCUGCCGUGGUUCCUCACACCAAUAUGGAUGCAGGGGAAGACAGAAGUUCUGGAAGGCAAUCCACCCAGAUCUUCCCUUCAUAUGAGAAAAGAGCCACUCCUCAAGACCAAACAAUACAAGGGCAGCAAGAUCCAAACAACUUCUGGGGGCUAGGUGGAAAUUCUACCAUGUGUGACCUGGAGCUGGGGAAAGAAAUGAGGGCUGCCUGGCCUGCCGCUGCAUGAGGAGGGCUGCCAGCCUAAGGACUUCAAGUCCUCCUCCACAGACUUCCAGCCCUUGACCUGCUGGUAACAGGAAGAUAGUUCGUGAAACAGCUCAGCGCUGGUCUACAUCCACCAUGUACACUGGAUCUUUGGAAAGUUGUGAUUUUUAGAAUCUCUGAAGAUAAUCCAAUUACACUUUGUUCAGAUGAAAAAUGAUCACUGUUCUUUCAUGAUUAUUGGUCUUCAUGUAGUUGUUGUUAUUAUAAAUAACUGAAUCACUAUUGAAGAAAUCUG
This 845-nucleotide long non-coding RNA is filed under the name Homo sapiens (human). RNAcentral's name for it is "HSALNT0122530". Lineage: Eukaryota; Metazoa; Chordata; Mammalia; Primates; Hominidae. The record is from RNAcentral.